This 72-nucleotide transfer RNA is filed under the name Candidatus Moraniibacteriota bacterium. RNAcentral's name for it is "tRNA-Glu". It matches the Rfam family "tRNA". From Rfam's summary of the family: Transfer RNA (tRNA) molecules are approximately 80 nucleotides in length. Their secondary structure includes four short double-helical elements and three loops (D, anti-codon, and T loops). The record is from RNAcentral. Lineage: Bacteria; Candidatus Moraniibacteriota.
GCCGCCAUCGUCUAGUGGUUAGGACGUCGGGUUCUCAGUCCGGCAACAGGGGUUCGAUUCCCCUUGGCGGUA